RNAcentral lists this ribosomal RNA (449 nucleotides) under uncultured bacterium. RNAcentral's name for it is "partial 16S ribosomal RNA". It matches the Rfam family "Bacterial small subunit ribosomal RNA", at positions 29 to 523 of the family's 1533-position model. The record is from RNAcentral.
AACGAACGCUGGCGGCAUGCCUAACGCAUGCAAGUCGAACGAAGCCUUCGGGCUUAGUGGCGCACGGGUGCGUAACGCGUGGGAAUCUGCCCUUGGGUUCGGAAUAACAGUUGGACACGACUGCUAAUACCGGAUGAUGACGAAAGUCCAAAGAUUUAUCGCCAGAGGAUGAGCCCGCGUAGGAUUAGCUAGUUGGUGUGGUAAAGGCGCACCAAGGCGACGAUCCUUAGCUGGUCUGAGAGGAUGAUCAGCCACACUGGGACUGAGACACGGCCCAGACUCCUACGGGAGGCAGCAGUGGGGAAUAUUGGACAAUGGGCGAAAGCCUGAUCCAGCAAUGCCGCGUGAGUGAUGAAGGCCCUAGGGUUGUAAAGCUCUUUUACCCGGGAUGAUAAUGACAGUACCGGGAGAAUAAGCCCCGGCUAACUCCGUGCCAGCCGCCGCCGUAA